UUGACCUCAAAUCAGGUAGGACUACCCGCUGAACUUAAGCAUAUCAAUAAGCGGAGGAAAAGAAACUAACAAGGAUUCCCCUAGUAACUGCGAGUGAAGCGGGAAAAGCUCAAAUUUGAAAUCUGGCAGCUCUUUGAACUGUCCGAGUUGUAAUCUAGAGAAGUGUUACCUGUGUUGGACCGUGUACAAGUCUCCUGGAAUGGAGCGUCACAGAGGGUGAGAAUCCCGUCUUUGACACGGACUGCCUGCACGUUAUGGUGCGCUCUCAAAGAGUCGAGUUGUUUGGGAAUGCAGCUCAAAAUGGGUGGUAAAUGCCAUCUAAAGCUAAAUAUUGGCGAGAGACCGAUAGCGAACAAGUACCGUGAGGGAAAGAUGAAAAGAACUUUGGAAAGAGAGUUAAACAGUACGUGAAAUUGCUGAAAGGGAAACGCUUGAAGUCAGUCGCGUCGGCUAGAAAUCAACCUUGCUUUUGCUUGGUGUACUUUCUUGUUGACGGGUCAGCAUCAAUUUUGACCGUCRGAUAAAGUCAUUGGGAAUGUGGCAUCUUAGGAUGUGUUAUAGCCCAUUGUCGCAUACGACGGUUGGGAUUGAGGAACUCAGCAYGCCCACAAGGGACGGGUUUUUUGACCACGUUCGUGCUUAGGAUGCUGGCAUAAUGGCUUUAAUCGACCCGUC
RNAcentral lists this ribosomal RNA (675 nucleotides) under Inocybe geophylla. Its description in RNAcentral is "eukaryotic LSU rRNA". It matches the Rfam family "Eukaryotic large subunit ribosomal RNA", at positions 1 to 653 of the family's 3401-position model. Lineage: Eukaryota; Fungi; Basidiomycota; Agaricomycetes; Agaricales; Inocybaceae. The record is from RNAcentral.